ACUCCUACGGGAGGCAGCAGUGGGGAAUAUUGCACAAUGGGCGCAAGCCUGAUGCAGCCAUGCCGCGUGUAUGAAGAAGGCCUUCGGGUUGUAAAGUACUUUCAGCGGGGAGGAAGGCGAUAAGGUUAAUAACCUUGUCGAUUGACGUUACCCGCAGAAGAAGCACCGGCUAACUCCGUGCCAGCAGCCGCGGUAAUACGGAGGGUGCAAGCGUUAAUCGGAAUUACUGGGCGUAAAGCGCACGCAGGCGGUCUGUCAAGUCGGAUGUGAAAUCCCCGGGCUCAACCUGGGAACUGCAUUCGAAACUGGCAGGCUAGAGUCUUGUAGAGGGGGGUAGAAUUCCAGGUGUAGCGGUGAAAUGCGUAGAGAUCUGGAGGAAUACCGGUGGCGAAGGCGGCCCCCUGGACAAAGACUGACGCUCAGGUGCGAAAGCGUGGGGAGCAAACAGGAUUAGAAACCCGAGUAGUCCCAUGAU
This 475-nucleotide ribosomal RNA is filed under the name uncultured organism. RNAcentral describes it as "partial 16S ribosomal RNA". It matches the Rfam family "Bacterial small subunit ribosomal RNA", at positions 335 to 801 of the family's 1533-position model. The record is from RNAcentral.